ACGAACGCUGGCGGCAUGCUUCAUACAUGCAAGUCGAACGCCCCGCAAGGGGAGUGGCGCACGGGUGAGUAACGCAUGGGAAUCUGCCUUGGACUGGAGGACAACCUGGGGAAACUCGGGCUAAUACUCCAUAUUGCCGAAAGGUGAAAGAAUUUCGGUCCAAGAUGAGCCUGUGUAUGAUUAGCUAGUUGGUGGGGUAAUGGCCUACCAAGGCAACGAUCAUUAGCUGGUCUGAGAGGAUGACCAGCCACAAUGGAACUGAGACACGGUCCAUACUCCUACGGGAGGCAGCAGUAGGGAAUUUUGCGCAAUGGGCGAAAGCCUGACGCAGCAAUGCCGCGUGUAGGAAGAAGCUUCUUGGAGUGUAAACUACUGUCGGUGGGGAAAAAGAAAGUGAUUGUACCCACAAAGGAAGCAUCGGCUAACUACGU
This 431-nucleotide ribosomal RNA is filed under the name uncultured bacterium. Its description in RNAcentral is "bacterial SSU rRNA". It matches the Rfam family "Bacterial small subunit ribosomal RNA", at positions 29 to 506 of the family's 1533-position model. The record is from RNAcentral.